UACGUAGGGUGCGAGCGUUGUCCGGAAUUAUUGGGCGUAAAGGGCUCGUAGGCGGUCUGUCGCGUCGGGAGUGAAAACUCAGGGCUUAACCCUGAGCCUGCUUCCGAUACGGGCAGACUAGAGGUAUGCAGGGGAGAACGGAAUUCCUGGUGUAGCGGUGGAAUGCGCAGAUAUCAGGAGGAACACCGGUGGCGAAGGCGGUCUCUGGGCCGAUAUUGACGCUGAGGAGCGAAAGCGUGGGGAGCGAACAGG
Molecule: ribosomal RNA, 252 nt
Filed under: uncultured bacterium
Lineage: Bacteria
Description: partial 16S ribosomal RNA
Rfam family: Bacterial small subunit ribosomal RNA
Source: RNAcentral